RNAcentral lists this long non-coding RNA (1206 nucleotides) under Sinocyclocheilus anshuiensis. Its description in RNAcentral is "lncRNA (ENSSANG00000050200.1)". The record is from RNAcentral. Lineage: Eukaryota; Metazoa; Chordata; Actinopteri; Cypriniformes; Cyprinidae.
CCUAAGCCAGUUUUCCUGUAGUGUUUCAGACUAGCAGACCAAUCUUUACCAGCCAGAAGUCACAAAGACGAACAGAAGGAUGCUCCGUAUCGCUCUCCUCAUUGCCGUACUGCCCUGUAUGGCCAAAGCAAAUGAAGACCUUAACAGCCCAUAUGAUAUGACAAUGAGUCAUUUGGAUAAGAACUCAGCCCCUGACACCAGCAAGAAUCCCCAUGAGGUGUCACCGUCUUCACCAUGCUGCGGACUGGAUGAGCUAAAGCAUUCACUCGCCCAGCUAAUCCAGGAAAAGCAGGAGAGCAGGGGCUGGUAUGGCGAAAUGGUGAAGAUCCUAAAUCAGCUGGUGCAAGAAAACAAGGAGGUGGCCAGCGUUCAGGCUGAGAUGCUGAAGGUCCUGCGGGCCACGAGCGACCAAGGCGUGCAGCAGCUGCUCCACCUCCAGAGCAUGGCUCGCCUUCAGAGCCUCCUCGUGGAGAACCACCAGGCAUUGCUGCUGCAAGUGUCUCGCAUUGCUACCACUCUGCAGGAUUCGGCUAAGAGACAGAGCAAAUAAAUGCAUGGGCAAAACGACCAGAUAAAGCAUUUUGAUGGCAUAUUAUACUUGCACUAACAAAAAGGCACUCAAUAAUAGUUAAAAAAAGAAAGAAUCAUAAUAACCUAUAGCUACAUUAAAUCUGAAAUCGUAUUCAAUAAAUGAAAUGAAGUUGAUGUUUUGUGUUACUCUCUCGUAUAUAACAUCACACUUGAAAGUCCUGCUUUCUGGAAUGAUUUAUGUUAUGGUUCAUCUAACCUGUUGCAUGAAGAAAUGUCAAUAAACAAGCUACUGAUGACACCUUUGUUUGGCAUCAAGAAUCAUUGAAUUAAUGAGUCAACCCGUUUCAUUGUUUAUCUAUGCACAGCAUAUACCUAUACGCACUUUUUAACUUUUCUUGAGUUUCUCUGCUCUUCUGUGUGUCUGAGCAGAGUUUCCCGCACCAGUGAUAAAGCUGAACUCCUCUCCGCUGAGUCGAUCUGAGGUGGUCUGGUCAGCUUACAAACCCUUCAUUCUGAGCUGCGAGGGACAAGCGGAUAACAUAUGGAAGACAAGGCUCAGGAAACACCAGAAACACGUCUCACGAAAGACCCUCAGUGUCCAAAAGCCCACUACAGAGUACACAGGAACAUACCGUUGCAGUUACAAGAAUCAAAAAGACUUGUACUCAGAGAUCC